Long non-coding RNA from Carassius auratus (goldfish), 2539 nucleotides. The record is from Ensembl. Lineage: Eukaryota; Metazoa; Chordata; Actinopteri; Cypriniformes; Cyprinidae.
AUGAAUCACCUUGACCCCGAAGAUGCCAUAUUCCUGGUUGAUGCAUUCCUGGAUGAGUGCAAGGUGGAUCAGCAUGGACAAACUAAAGGAGGUUCAAAACAAUCCACAAAGUUGUGUGUUUGGCCUGAUGAGGACAAAGAUGGUCAACCUCUGCCAAAAAGAUGUAGAGCUGGAGAGAAACGAAAGCGAGAUUCAGCUACUGUUUCUUCAGCAAGCGUUAAAAGUGUGUCCUGUGCUCCGUCUACCAGCACAACUGAAGACACAGUGAUCAUCGAAAAUUUUGACUCCCUCAUUCAAGAUGUCCGAGAACUCUUGGGAAGUGGUGAUGAACAGUCUUUCCCCUCAGAGUGGAGUAACAGGCAAACUACCUCUCUGGAGAAUUGGACAGUAAUGAGGCCCUUCAUGGUGAACAAUAUGUUGUCAUCUGAGAAGCCCAAGGAGGGGGUUUCCCAUCACUGUGGACACAAGGCUGCAGUAGUGAUGUGUAGGGACUGUUUACCACGAUCACUCUACUGCACAGCCUGUGACCUUUCCACACAUGAGGCCCUGGUGCUUCAUAACAGAGCAUCCAUGGUGGAGGGGUUCUUCAGACAACUGCAGCCAUCCACUUUUGUUCAGCAGCACGAGGGAGGGAAAUUCUCCUAUCAUGAAAAAGAUUGCAUGUUACCAAUCGUUCCUCCCUGCUGCGACUGCUCCACUGGGCAAACAAGCUUUUCCAAGGGAAAGCCAGUUAUUUUAAUUGGAAUGAAUUUCAGGAAGAUACAACCUCUUCCUUCCAUCAGUAAACUGCUCCUGUGGAAAAACCUUGCCAGUGACCAUAAGUGAUCUGGUUGAAAGUGGUUACUGGCCAGCCACUGUCAAUUUUGAGACCUUGUACAUGGUGGACUUGUUCACCACGUAUGAGGAUCUAAAAAUCACUGCCCCAGGGAUGUCCAGACAAGCUUUUGUCAGCAUGCUCGAGUGUCGUACAAAACUCUUCGGGCGAGUGAGUGGACUCAUCAUUUAGUUAUCCUGUUUGGAUCACCUUUUAGAGAUUCAUAGAACAGAUUCAUUGUUAGGACUUGUUGUUACAAUCCCCAAAGUUUCAGCACAUAUUUCUUGACAGAGCCCUUUCUUCAUCAUGACCACAGUCUAAAGCCAACCUUCGACACAGUUACUUACUUUUUUGUUUUUCACUUUUGCUCUAAGAGUGGUAAGAUUUGUGGGGACACAAUGCAGAGGGCCUUCCUCGAAUGGGCCUAUGCCAAAUUUGAGGUUGACAAGCUGUCUCAGGUCCAGCAUUUUCAGUGCCCUGCAUGCACACCAUACAUGUUGGCAGUUGCAGUGGAUGGGAACCGCAAAUUAUAUCGUUUCAAAAGCCAACCAGGGUGUGUAACAUUCAUGUACAAUGAAAUGCUAGUUAGCCACAAAUUACUUUUAUACAGUAAAUUUAACCCACAUCUAUAUAUUUCUUUCAAGACCUGAUGGGUUUUUUGAUGGAGUCUUUUUGGCAAAUGAUGCUGAUGUGUCCUCCUUUGUUGAUUACAUCCAUGAAACAACUGGACAUGUAAGCUAAAUUUAUAUUUCAUGUGUAACGCCACAAUUUUACAUUUUUAUGAAUGCUUGCCAGUUUUUUCCCCAAAAUUUAAACAUUAUUUGGUUUGCAUCAAAUGCCAUAAUACCAUGAUCUUUUUAAGAAUCCAGGGAAAGGGAGAUGUGGUGCGGGUCAGUGGACCGCAGCACGAGAGUCUGCCAACAAGUCUGGAAACAAACUAGACGAGGAAGGUGUUGAAGUUGCUGUCUGCCGUCAUGGGGUUUUGCUCAAGGGACUGAAUAUGUUCCGUGGAGAAAUAUUUGCAUACCCAUUAUAUCUCCAGAAACAGCUAGCUUCACAGACCGUCCAGUUUUUUUGCUCUGAUGUGGUCUGCAAAUAUUGGCCAUAUCUGCAGAAAGUUGUGGGCCACUGUCCAGAGUUGGAGGACUUGCUGAACAUGCGCCCAUUUCUCUCCAUCAUGCAUGCAAAAGCGCAUUCAUGGAUGUGUGAGGUAAUAAUGACAAUUAGAUGUAUUACUUACCAUUUGCAACACACAUUAUGAUUGUCUUUCCUCUGCCCCUACUUGUUGUUUUCCAAAUUAUAACAUUUAAAUGUGUUUCAGUUAAAAUGGGGGGGACGCAAUCAAGAAGGAGCUGGAACAACAAUCGGGGAGGAGGUUGAACAGGUUAACAGCUUCCUCUCUCGAGCAGCCAUAUGUUCCAAGUACAUGUCAAAAGCCGGUAAGCAUUUUUCAUGUAAAGUUGUGUCCAAAUUGAGACCAAGUGGUUUUAACACUAAUGCUCGGCCUUUGCUUUUUAGAGUUCCAUGCAUAGGUGCUCCCUUAGAAAACAACUGUCUAGUCAGCACUUUUACACUGAUCAGGAUUCUCUUAAUAAUAAUUUAACUUCUGACACGUUAAUUAAUUGUAUGAUUAUUUCCAGGUUUAUGUGACAAUAUUAGAGAAUGAUCAAUGUAGUAUCUGACCUGUGGUCCUCACUGUGAACCUAAAUUACUGCACAUACAUUG